AGCGCAGGCGGUUUGGUCAGUUUAAAGUGAAAGUCCGGGGCUUAACCUCGGAAGUGCUUUGGAUACUGCCAGGCUUGAGUACGUGAGAGGAGAGCGGAAUUCCAGGUGUAGCGGUGAAAUGCGUAGAUAUCUGGAGGAACACCGGUGGCGAAAGCGGCUCUCUGGCGCGAUACUGACGCUGAGGCUCGAAAGCGUGGGGAGCGAACAGGAUUAGAUACCCUGGUAGUCC
Molecule: ribosomal RNA, 229 nt
Filed under: uncultured bacterium
Lineage: Bacteria
Description: partial 16S ribosomal RNA
Rfam family: Bacterial small subunit ribosomal RNA
Source: RNAcentral